CAGCAGCCGCGGUAAUACGUAGGUGGCGAGCGUUGUCCGGAUUUAUUGGGUUUAAAGGGUGCGUAGGCGGCCCCGUUAGUCAGCGGUGAAAUACGGCAGCUUAACUGUCGAGGUGCCGUUGAUACUGCGGGGCUUGAGUGCGGUCGAGGAGGGCGGAAUUGACGGUGUAGCGGUGAAAUGCUUAGAUAUCGUCAAGAACACCGAUAGCGAAGGCAGCCCUCCAGGCCGCAACUGACGCUGAGGCACGAAAGUGCGGGGAUCAAACAGGAUUAGAUACCCUGGUAGUCCGCACAGUAAACGAUGGUCACUCGGUGUUGGCGAUACACAGCCAGCGCCUUAGCGAAAGCGAUAAGUGACCCACCUGGGGAGUACGCCCGCAAGGGUGAAACUCAAAGGAAUUGACGG
Molecule: ribosomal RNA, 405 nt
Filed under: uncultured bacterium
Lineage: Bacteria
Description: bacterial SSU rRNA
Rfam family: Bacterial small subunit ribosomal RNA
Source: RNAcentral